Zea mays is the source of this 4250-nucleotide RNA transcript. RefSeq lists it as uncharacterized. The transcript has 32 exons. NCBI's taxonomy places the organism in Eukaryota, Viridiplantae, Streptophyta, Magnoliopsida, Poales, Poaceae. The record is from RefSeq and is marked validated.
GUCGUAAAAAAAGGGCGAACAAUUAAACACAGAAGCGAAGAAAACGAACGAAUUGCCGCUGAAUCCUUAAGAACAGACGACGAUCUGACCCGCGGGCCUCUCGUCCCCUUCUUCCUGCACUUCAGGUCUGCAACCAUCAUCUAUCUGGCUUCCUAUUCCGCUUGGUCGCUUCCCUCCCUCCCUCGUCCUGCUCGCGCGCGGAGUGAGCCUACACCACAGGGAGAAGCAGGCGCCAACCGUGACACCGAGGGUACCUAACUGGAGGCCGGUGAUCUCCGGUUCCGGCGGCGGAGAUGGGGUCGUCGUCGCGGAUCUUCGAGUACUUCGUAGUGUGCGGGCUGGGCCCGGAGAUCCGGUCCCUGGAUGGCAUCAAGGGUUUCCAUGGCGUUGAGGAGAUGUACAUGUCGGCCUUCCUUGACCAGUUCCCGCCGUCCAACCACGCUCUGUACCCUCCUCCUCCUCCGCAGCUCCCCACCUGUGUUUUGCCAGCGGGAGUAAGAAUAUAUUCUUCAGGGCUGGACACAGAUGAUGUCUCAACUUAUCCACGUAGUUAUCCUAUAGUUUUAACAGAGGGAGAUGGCUCAAAAAUUUAUGUCAGUUGUAUUGCAUUUCGGGAUCCUAUUUGUGAAGACAUAAUUGAGGCUUACCAAAUUCCGGCGAAUUCGUUUGCUGAUAAAUGCAUCUGCCUUGUGUCCCAUUCUCCUAGUUUCCAAGUCCUUCGUGAUGCCCUUGAGGAAAUAUUUGUUCUUUGUUUUUCUCCUUCAGGGUGCAGCAAGCCUUUGUGGGACAUAAUAUCUCAUAUGGUGUCACAUGUGACAUUACCCACACCAGGAAAGAAUCGUGUCUUAUUUGCCAUUGAGAAUUGUCUUCUUUCUGCGGAAGCUCCUCCAAAAGAAUGGCUUCCCCAUGCUGAUAUAUCAUUCCAGCCAUUGGUGCAGUGUCUGGAUGUUGAUAAACUAAUACUUCUCUUUACAGCUGUCCUGCUUGAAAGAAGGAUAUUGCUUCGAUCAAAUAAGUAUACUCUACUGACUCUAGUUUCAGAAGCCAUUUGCCAUUUAAUAUACCCAAUUAGGUGGCAGCAUGUCUAUAUUCCAAUAAUAUUCUCUAGUGGGGUUGAUUACAUUGAUGCCCCGACACCCUACAUGAUGGGGCUUCAUUCUGGUGUUGACACAUCUGCAGUGACAAUGGAUGGUGUAGUGGUGGUAGAUCUCGAAUACAACCGUAUAACAAUAACGGAAGAAAUUCCUCCAAUACCAGAAACUGAACAUAACUUUCUUCGUGUUGAGAUUUUAAAAUUACUACAACCCAAUGUCAUGGGAAUUGAUUUCAUGAAAAUCAAUCUUGCCAAUAUGGGUGACCUAAGGGCUGGCACAAAAUCAUGGAGUCAGGAACAUGAUUUCCAACUUAGGCUGAUAUUUUUGAGAUUCUUUGCACAGAUCCUGAGUGGUUAUCGUAACUUCAUUGAUACUACUUCAGCGACUGGUUUCAAUUCUCAAGCUUUUCUUAAAAAGCGUUCUCGAGCAACUAACCAGCCUGUCGACUCCAUGUCAAUGAUUAUGCAGUUUUUGGAGACUCAAGGGUUCUUGGAUUAUCUGGAGAGAUGCAACACUGCAGAAGAAAAUGCCCACAACCUUCUCGAUAAGUUGCAGGAUGCAACCGGAAGAGGACAAAACCCUCUAACCAUAUUUCCUUCUCAAGUUUCUGAUCCUGAGAUUAUAACAAUAGCCAAUCCUGAGAUUGAAGGACUAGACAAUAGACACUGCUAUAAGAGGUUUCCAGCAAAUGCAAGAACAGAAGAACAAGAAGAAAAACGUAAGUCGAUUCUAGCGUUAGCUAGUGGGGCUAGUAAGCAAGUACCGAGUUCUCCUUCUAUCCGAGUAAAUGGGGGCCCAAAGGCAGAAAGUCUGAGCCCAAGAGAGAGGGCGGCUGAGAGAGAAAGGAUGGUUCUGGACAUAAAAGUGAAGCUCCAGGGACUCUGGCUUCGUCUUCUGAGACUAGGGGCAACUGAGGAUCCUCUCUCAUCUUUUGAAUAUGGCACCAUCCUAGCUUUGAUUGAGUCUGACGCAGAAGGCAUCGGGGGAAGUGGCUUUGUUGAAUGCAUCAGAGAGCAUAUUCAUUCGGGCUGGCAAUGUCGCUUGACUGAUGAACAAUUCAUUGCUGUAAAAGAAUUGCUUAAGAUGGCUAUAACUCUUGCGAACUCUCGCAACGACCUGGCGACCAUUAGAGAUGCUCUUGAAGUUUCUGCUGAAAUGUACAGAAAAGACCCAAACAAUGUUCAAGAUUAUGUUCAGCGCCAUCUAUUAUCAUUGUCAGUAUGGGAGGAGCUUCGCUUCUGGGAUGGCUACUUCGAAUAUUUGAUGGAAAAUUGUUCAAAUAAGUCAGCAAAUUAUGUAACGUUAGUUACUGCACAGCUCAUUCUCAUGGCAACUCACAUGGCUGGAUUGGGAUUACCUGACAUUGACUCUUGGAAUAUGAUUGAGAAAAUAGCCGAGAGAAACAACUUGGGUUAUAAACAGCUUAUCAAACUUAGAGCAUUGCUCACACAUCUGCAACAACUCCGGAUUGGCUAUUGGGGGGUUGCUACAGGGAAAAGCCAACCAUUGCAGUCAUAUGGCAUGGCUUCACCUCAUGCGAUCGAUGUGAUUGAUGAAAGCCAACAACCUGCUGAAGCAUCUGGGUUGGGCCGAAGUUGGGUGCAAAGUAUGUUUAGCAGAGACAGAAGUUUAAGAGCCAGCUCUUUCAACCGAGCUAGUGAUGGAAAUGCUGUUGCUGCCACGGGCAAAACCGAAAUCUCAGCUGCACAAAAGAAAACUCAAACUAACAUGAGGACCCUUAGAGGGCAUACAGGUGCUAUUACUGCUCUUCAUUGCGUAACAAGAAAGGAGGUCUGGGAUCUUGUUGGUGAUCGUGAAGAUGCUGGUUUUUUCAUCAGCGGAAGCACAGAUUGCACGGUAAAAAUUUGGGAUCCAAGUUUGCGUGGUUCUGAACUUCGAGCAACACUUAAAGGGCAUACUAGGGCAAUUCGAACAAUCAGUUCAGAUCGUGGCAAAAUAGUUUCUGGAGCUGAUGAUCAGUCUGUCAUAGUAUGGGAUAAGCAGACUUUUAAGCUUUUGGAAGAACUGAAGGGCCACGAGGCACCGGUUAGUUCUGUCCGGAUGCUCUCAGGAGAACGUGUCCUUAUUGCAUCCCAUGAUGGUACUGUGAAGAUGUGGGAUGUCCGGACUGAUACUUGUGUUGUUACCGUGGGUCGUUGCCAAAGUGCUGUUCUCUGUAUGGAAUAUGAUGAUUCCACUGGGAUUCUGGCGGCUGCUGGAAGAGAUAUCACGGCACAUGUCUGGGAUAUUCGCUCCAGCAAGCAGAUGUUCAAGCUUCAAGGGCAUACAAAGUGGAUAAGAUCAAUGAGGAUGACCGGAGAGACCAUAAUAACAGGUAGUGAUGAUUGGACUGCUAGAGUGUGGUCCCUUAACCGGGGAACAUGUGAUGCAGUGUUAGCAUGCCAUGCUGGUCCCGUACUAUGUGUGGAAUACUCACCUUCAGAUAAAGGAAUUAUCACUGGUUCAGCUGAUGGGCUCAUACGAUUUUGGGAAAAUGAAGGAACAAAAUCUUCUCAUUGCCUCCUUGAGGACCAUAAACACAGGAGGAAUAAAAUGCGUCAAGAAUCUUACACUUCACACAGCAUCCGUUCUGUCCAUUAGUGCCAGUGAUCACUGGCUAGCGAUUGGUGCUGCUGAUAAUUCUAUGUCUCUUUUUCAUCGGCCACAAGAAAGAUUCGGUGGCUUCUCAAAUGCAGGAUCAAAAGUUGCAGGAUGGCAGCUUUACAGAACUCCCCAAAAAACUGCUGCAGUGGUGAGAUGUAUAGCAUCUGACCUGGAUAGGAAAAGAAUAUGUAGUGGUGGUCGCAACGGACUCCUGCGGCUUUGGGAUGCAACUACAAGCAUCUAGGACUGAUAGAUGUUCAUGUGAAAAGGCAAUUGACAUGAUGUUGCAUGCCAUUUUCCUUUUAGCUAGGAAUUUAUGUGCUAUUUAGAGGAUGCGAAAGGAGCCGGACUUUGUUCUACUGUUUCUUUAUCAUCUAAAAAACCCUGCCCAGUUGAGUAUAUGUUUGACGUCGUGUAAAAUUUUGUUUAUAUUUUCGGGUUCAGAUAGCCUUACGUGGCUACGAUUUUGUAAGAACUAUGAGAAACUUGGGAAGUUCUGUACUACUACCAGUGCAAAUGUUUGUUUUAGUACAACAUUAUUUUUUAUGUGCA